This 553-nucleotide ribosomal RNA is filed under the name uncultured eukaryote. RNAcentral's name for it is "eukaryotic LSU rRNA". It matches the Rfam family "Eukaryotic large subunit ribosomal RNA", at positions 923 to 1452 of the family's 3401-position model. The record is from RNAcentral.
GCGAAAGACUAAUCGAACCAUCGAGUAGCUGGUUCCCUCCGAAGUUUCCCCUCAGGAUAGCUGGAACUUAUGAGAAAGUAGUUUUAUCAGGUAAAGCGAAUGAUUAGAGGCUUUGGGGAAGAAACUUCCUCGACCUAUUCUCAAACUUUAAAUAGGUAAGAUUUGAAGGAUACUUAAGUGAUCUUUCAAUCUCUUGAAUAUAAAGUUCUUAGUGGGCCAUUUUUGGUAAGCAGAACUGGCGAUGUGGGAUGAACCGAACGUUAAGUUAAAGUGCCAAAAUAAUACGCUCAUGAGAUACCAUAAAAGGUGUUGGUUCAUUUUGACAGCAGGACGGUGGCCAUGGAAGUCGGAACCCGCUAAGGAGUGUGUAACAACUCACCUGCCGAAUGAACUAGCCCUGAAAAAUGGAUGGCGCUUAAGCGUAUAACUUAUACUUAACCCUUACUUGAAUUAUAAUAGCGAGUAAGGAGUAGGAGGGCGUAAAGUUUCUAUUAUAAUGGCUGUUAAGCAUCUAAGCGUGAGCUUAUGUGGAGCAAACUUUAGUGUAGAUCUU